ACGGUCACAAGAUGCAGUAA
RNAcentral lists this non-coding RNA (20 nucleotides) under Arabidopsis thaliana (thale cress). The record is from RNAcentral. Lineage: Eukaryota; Viridiplantae; Streptophyta; Magnoliopsida; Brassicales; Brassicaceae.